Long non-coding RNA from Neofelis nebulosa (Clouded leopard), 579 nucleotides. RefSeq lists it as uncharacterized. Lineage: Eukaryota; Metazoa; Chordata; Mammalia; Carnivora; Felidae. The record is from RefSeq and is a predicted model, not a curated record. The transcript has 3 exons.
GCAGGGCAUUGUAGGCACCUGGGGACAAGAGGACCUACAUCAGAGGGCUGGCAGGAAACACUGACUUUCUCAACUACUUGGAUAUUUUAUUUUUAGGCAAUCUCUGCGCCCAGCGUAGGGCUUGAAUCCGCAACCCCGUGAUCGAGUCGCGCGCUCCACUGACUGAGCCAGCCAAGCGUCCCCGGAACCUUACACUUCCGAUGGGGUGCAGUGUAAGUGUGUGGUUUAAGGCAUACAGAUGGCCAACAGAUCCACGGAAAGAUGCCCAACGUCACUGAUCAUGAGGGAAAUGCAAAUCAAAACUACGAUGACAUAUCACCUCAUACCUGUCAGAACUGCUAAAAUCAACAACACAAGAAACAACAGGUGUUGGUGAGGAUGUGGAGAAAGGGGAACCCUCGUGCACUGUUGGUGAGAAUGCAAACGGGUGCGGCCGCUGUGGAAAACGGUAUAGAGGUUCCUCAAAAAAUUAAAAAUGGAAUUAGCAUAUGAUUCAGUAAUUCCACUGCUGGGUAUUUACCCAAAGAAUAGGAAAACACCAAUCCAAUGUGUAUCGCAGCACUAUUUACAAUAGCCAAA